Homo sapiens (human) is the source of this 8918-nucleotide long non-coding RNA. RefSeq lists it as uncharacterized. The record is from RefSeq and is a predicted model, not a curated record. The transcript is spliced from 2 exons. NCBI's taxonomy places the organism in Eukaryota, Metazoa, Chordata, Mammalia, Primates, Hominidae.
AUUCACCCACCUCAGCCUCCCCAAGUAUUGGGAUUACAGACAUGAGCCACUGUGCCCAGCCUGCUUCCAUUGUUUCUAGUAAGAUGUCAGCCAUAGUUCUUAUUGUUGUAUGUACUGUGAUAUAUCCCUCUCUGCCUUCCCCCUUCCCCCAGCCGCUUUUGAGAUUUUCUCUUUAUUUUUGGUUCUCUGCAGUUUGACAUUUAUGUAUGUGCCUCAGCAUAGUUUUCUUUUUGUUCAUCUUGCUCAGGGUUUCCUUAGCUUAGUGGUGCUUUGGGUUUGUUCACCUUCAAAUUGGGAAGAUGUUGGUCAUUAUUUUUUAAAGUAUUUUUUCUUCUCCAUUCUCUCUCUCCUAUUCUUCCGGGACUUGAAUUAUAUAUAUUAGAUCACUUCAAAUUGUCCCACAGAUCAGUGAUUCUUUAUACAUUUUUAUUUCAAUCUUUCUCUCUUUUUUUCUUUCAGUUGAAACAUACAACUUUUUUGAUGAUACACAAAUGAAGCUUUUGGUGGAUAAAUUGAAGUCAAAACAAAUAACAAAACAGUAUGUCAUUUAUAAUAGACAGGUUCACUGUCAAUUCAGAGGAACCAGUAAAAAAUAUUUCAAUCCAAGCAGCAUGAUUAAAAUCACAAAUAUGUUUUCAGCACAAGAGGACUAUUUAUUUGAUAUUCAUAAGAUGGUUCAGCUUGAAGCAGGUGACUGUCACAGAUAACAUCACUCUGGGUGAGACAUUAUUCAAAACUAGCAGCUGAAAGGAUCCCUUUAUUAUAUGACUAAGUGGAAAAGCAGUAACUUUCAAUUUUCAAUGCCUCCAGCUGCAAAACCAAGAAAUUUCUUGAAGUCUUUUGAGAGCACAUAACCAAUUAGAAUUUGUUCACUAGUUUUAUAACUUUCACUUUCACCGAGAGGUCAUCUGAUUUGCUAAGGCUCUAAUUUUCUUAACACACACUCCAAAUGCAAUGCAUACGUUUGAAAAGGGAAGCUUUAUUGAAUUCUCUAUAGCUGAACACUUCUACUCUGAGAUUGUCAUAGAUGAUCUCAAAUAUAGUAAGGGCAUCAAUAAAAAUUUCUUAUUCCACAUAAGAAUUGUAGAGAUAAUUAAAUAUGUAGACACUUGGGUACUGAGAAGUUUUUUCUUUUUUUAGCAUAUCUGAUUUUCAGCAAAAUUCAAAAUUAUUUUCAAAAUCUCAACCUUGAUUCUUAGCCACCAAAGCCAUAAAGGGUGCACCCCUGCCACUUAAACACAUAGACUACGCCCAUGGCUGUUACAUCUUGCACUUGGCAUGCUUGGUGUGACAUCAUCCUGGAUCACAUUCUCCAGAAACACCUUCAAAACCUCCUGGAUCUCCUCAUAGAUGAGGCCAGAAAUGCUCUUGACACCAUCACACCAAGCAAGAUGCCAGAUAGGAGGCUUGCAGAUAGAUGCCUUGCAGGCUGUCAUACGUAGGACCUUGCAGUGACACUUAGUUCCUUCCUUACCCAGUCCUUUUCCACCUUUGCCUCAGCCAGACAUGACAAAACAGAUGCUUUUUCUUUUUGUGGUUCAGUUUGCAAAAAUUUUAUGACCUGUGUUCAAAUUUCACUGAUCUUUUUUUCUGUGGUGCCCAAUAUGAUGUUAAGGGUACACAAUGAAUUUUUCAUUUCAUAUAUUGUAUUUCCCAUGUCUUCACCUAUUCCUUCUUUCUUUCCUUGUAAAUUCCUAACUAUAUUUAUAGUAGUUGUUUUAAAGUCAUAAGUCUGCUAAUUCCUCUGUCUAGGUCAUCUUGUGGGUCUCCUAUUGAUGAUUUCUUUCUCUUAUGUAUCAGAUUUUUUUUGCAUCUUCCCAUGUCUCAAUAUUUUACCGUAAGGCAAAAAUUGUGUAUAAAUGAUAGUGGAUACUGCUGUAUAAUAUUUUGUGUUUUGUUUUCACAGAACUUUCAAAUCCUUCCUUCCAUUCAGGUUUAUGGGAUAAUGGGUUGUUUGUCCAGUGCCAACUAAGAUGUGAAGACUGGAAUUGGGCUACAGUAUUAACCCCAGCUUCCUGCAUUGUUGCCACUAAGUGGUUCAUCCCUUUGAUACUGUCAGAAUUUAACUGGAAGGAGAUUAGUUGCCACAUGAGUUGGUUUGGAUGACUUUUGGAUUCAACUACAAUUAGGCUUUAGAAUCAGAACACUCAAGACUGCACAAACUUUCUCUAGUUUCUAGCCUCAUGCCCACUGAUACUUCAGGAUACCCCUUUGUCACUUUUGCAGCAAAUUCUUAGAGUGGAGAGGGAAUUGUUGGACUAAAUAAUUUAUGUUUGCAUUAGAGCUCUUCCAAAUUCCAAUUCGUCUUGCCAGCCCAUGCUAUUAUUAAGUAUUCAAUGGAUUUUUUUUUUUGUUCUUUGAAAAAUUUCUCUAUCUAUAGCUAGGCCACUUCUCUACUCACCUAUGCCCAGAGUAGACAUUGGCCUCUAUAUAUAAAAAUGUCCACAACUCUUUACUCAUAUGUAAAGGGCUUGCUAUACUCUGCUGUUUAGUUUAUUAUGCCUAUUUGUAUCUACUUCUCGAUGGCUUUGGGGAUAAGUGUGAGAGUUUUUUUGUUUUAUCUGUUUUUUUUUUUCUUGUUACUCUGGAAGCAGUAGUUUCCACAUUUUAUUAUAUUUUUAUUAGGUGGGAUGUUCUGUAAAUGUCUACUAGGUCUAGAUGGUUUGUAUUGCUGUUGAAGUCAUCUUCUCCUUUUGUAAAAAAUUUUCUGCCUAGUUGUCCUAUCCAUUAUUGAAAGUGGGGCACUGAGGUUUCCAUACAUUAUUGUUGGAUGAUCUGUCUCAUCCUUCAAUCCGAUUUUCUUCUUUUAACUCAUGUUAUAUGCCAUCUACUGCCUCCAUUGUUUCCGAUUAGUCAGGUAUUAAUCUUAUUGGGGUUCUUUGGUAAGUAAUUAUUUUUUUCUUGUCACUUUCAGAUGGUUCUCUUUAUCUUCAGAUCUCAGUAUUUGUGGUUUUUUUCAAUAAAUACAUAAAUUAAUUAUCUUUUAUUUUAAAUUCUGCUGUGGGGGAAAGUAAAGGAUUAAUUUACUCUUACCUCUUAUUUUCCCCUACAGCAUAAUUGACAAAUAAAAAUUAUAUGUGUUUGUAGUAUACAAUUUGAUGGUUGUACAUAUAAAAACUUAUUGUGAAAUGAUUACCUCCAGUUUUAGAUGGAGGAUGGAUACCUCCAGUUUUGUCCUUGCUCAAGAUUGCUUUGACUGUUCAGGGUGUUUUGUGGUUUCAUGCAAAUACUAGGAUUUUUUUUCUGUUUCUAUAAAAAAUGCUAUAAAACUUUGAAAGCAUUGAAUCUGUAGAUUGUUUUGAAUAGUAUAGACAUUUUAACAUUAUCAUUUCUUCCAAUUCAUGAAUAUCUUUUCAUUUAUUUGUGUCUUCACAAAUUUCUUUCAUCAAUGUUUUACUCAAUGGUUUACAUCAAUGUUUAUAGUGUUUAAUGUACAGGUCUUUCACAUCCUUGGUUAAAUUCAUUCCUAAGUAUUUUAUUUUGAUCUAUUGUAAAUGGGAUUCUUUUCUGAAUUUCUUUUUUGGAUAGUUUGUUUCUCUACAGAAAUGAUACUUAUUUUUGUAUAUUUAAUUUGUAUCCUACAGCUUUGCUAAAUUCAUUCAUUCUGUUUUUUUGGUGGAGUUUUUAGGGUUUUCUACAUAUAACAUCAUGUUAUCUGCAAAGAGACAAUUUUAAUUCUUCCUUUUCAAUUUGGAUGCCUUUUCUUUUUCUUGCCUGAUUGCUCUGGCUAGGACUUCCAGUACUUAAUAGAAGUGGCAAGAAUGAGCAUCCUUGUCUUAUUUUUUAUUUUAGAGAAGUUUUCACCAGUGAGUAUGAUAUUAGCAAUGGGCUUGUCUUAUGUGGCCUUUAUUGUGUUGAGGUAUAUUCCUUCUAUACCUAAUUUGUUGAGAAUUUUUAUUAUUACAGGAUAUUGAAUUUUGUCAAUGGCUUUUUUUCUGCAUCUAUUGAGAUGAUCAUAUGAUCUUUGCCUUUCAUUCUGUUAAUGUGGUAUAUCACAUUUAUUGAUUUGCCUAUGUUGAACCAUCCUUGCAUUCCAGGGAUAAAACCCACUUGAUCAUGGCAUAUAAUCUUUUUAAUGUGCUGUUGGAUUCAACUUGCUAUUAUUUUGUUGAGGAGUUUUGCAUUUAUGUUCAUCAGGGAUAUUGGCCUGCAGUUUUCUUUUCUGUUAGUGUCCUUAUAUGGCUUUGGUAUCAGGGUAAUACUGGCCUUGUUUCCAUUUUUAAGAAGAGUUUUGAAAGGACUGGUUAAUUUUUCUUUAAAUGUUUGGAAGAAUUCAGUCAUGAAGCCAUCAGGUCCUGGGCUUUUUUUUUUUUUUUUUUUUUUUUUGAUGUGAGACAUUUCAUUAGUUAUUCAGUAUCUUUAUUUAUUAUUUGUCUUUUCAGAUUUUCUCUUCAUGAUUCAUGGUUGAUAGGUUAUAUAUUCAUAGUAGUUUAUUUUUUUCUAGGUUGUCCAAUUUGUUGACAUUUAACUGUUUAUAGUUGUCUCUUAUGAUCCUUUGUUUUUCUGUGGUAUCAAUUGUAAUGUCUUCUAUUUAUAACUUUGAAUUUUUCUUUUUUUUGGUUAAUUUAGCUAAAGUUUAUCAAUUUUUUUAUAUUUUUUAAACUAUUUCUUUGAUAUUUUUUGUCAUUUUUCUAGUGUCUAUUUCAUUUAUUUCUCCUUUGAUUUUUAUUAUUUCUUUCAUUCUGCUAACUGUGGGCUUAGUUUGCUCUUCUUUUUCUAGUUCUUUGCACUGUAAAGUUAGGUUGUUUAUUUGACAUGUUUUUUAUUCAUGUAGGUGCUAUCACUAUAAACUCUCUUACUAAAACUGCUUUUGUUACAUCCCCUACAUUUUAGUAUGUUGUAUUUUCAUUUUAAUUUGUUUCAAGAUUUAAAAAAUUUCCUUUUUGAUUUAUUAUUUGACCCAUUGUUUAGGAGUGUGUUAUUUAAUUUCCACGUAUUUGUAGAAUUUCAUUUUUCUUGUAUUAUUGGUUUCUAGCUUCACAUCAUUGUGGUUGGAAAAGAUGCUUGCUAUGAUUUCAGUCUUCCUAAAUUUGUGAAGACUUGUUUUGUGGCCUACGAUAUGAUCUAUCCUGGAGUAUGUUCCUUGUGAGCUUGAAAAGAAUGUGUAUUCUGCUGCUGUUGAAUAGAUAUUCUGUAUAUGUCUAUCAUGCCCAUUUGGUUUAUACUUGUUAUUCAAGUAUACUGUUUCAUUAUUGGUUUUUUGUCUGGACGAUCUAUCCAUUGUUGAAUGUGGGAUAUUGAAGUACCCUACUAUUAUUAUAUUGCUAUCUAUUUCUCCCUAUAAUUCUGUUUAUAUUUGUUUUAUAUAUUUAGGUGUUCCAACGUUGGGUGCAAAUAUAUUUAUAAUUAUUACAUCCUUUUGACGAAUGUUUCUGUUUAUCAUUAUGUAGUGACUUUCUUUGUCUCGCGUGACAAUUUUUGACUUAAAAUCUAUCUUGUCUGAUAUAGGUAUAACCACCACUGCUGCUCUUAUUUGGUUACCACUUUGCAUGGAAUAUGUUUUUCCAUUCCUUUACUUUCAAUCUGUAUGUGUCCUUAAAGCUAAAGUGAGUCUCUUGUAGGCAGCAUAUUGUUGGGUCGCUUUUGCUUUUUGUUUUUAAAUCUAGGAAGCCAUUAUAUUUUUGAUUGGAGUCCAUUUAUAUUUAAAGUAAUCACUGAUAGAUAAGGACUUACUAUUGCUGUUUUAUUAAUUAUUUGCUAUUUUGUAGUUCCUUCAUUCCUUUCUUUCUUACUAUCUUCCUUUAUCAUUUGAUAAUUUUUUGUAGUGGCAUGAGAUGUGAUUUAAUUACUUUCUCUUUGUCUUUUGUGUAUCUGCUACAGGUAUUUUCUCUGUGGUUCCUUUGAGGCUUAUAUAAGAUAUUUUAUAGUUUUAUCAGUGUAUUUUAAUCUGAUAAUGACUUCAGUUCAACCACAUUCAAGAACUCUACACUUUAAAAUUUCCUUCCCCCCAUUUUGUUACUGAUGUCGCAGUUUACAUCUUUUAUAUAUUGUGUUUCAUUAUGUAUUCAUUAAUAUAUUAUUGAAACUAUAGUUAUUUGUAAUACUUUUGUUUCUAAAUGUAUAUACUAGAGUUAAAAGUGACUUACAUACCACCAUUACAGUAUUAGAAUAUUCUGAAUUUGACUAUAUUCUUACUUUUACAGUGAGUUUUAUACUUUCAUAUGUUCUCACGUCAUUAUUUUAGCAUCCUUUCAUCUCAACUUGAAGAGCUACAUUUAGUAUUUCUUAUACUGCAGGUCUAGGUUGAUGAACAACCCCAGCUUUUGUUUGUCUGGCAAAGUCUUAAUCUCUCCUUCAUUUGUAAAGGACAGCUUUGCUGGGUAUAGUCUUUUUGGUUGAAGGGGCUUUUCCUCCCUUUAGCACUUUGAAUAUAUUAUCCCACUCUCUCGGCCUGCAAGGCUUCUGUUGAGAAGUCUGCUGUUAAUCUUAUGGUGGCUCCUUUGUAUGUGAUGAGUUGCUUUUCUGUUGCUUUCCAAGUUUUGUUUUUCACUUGACAAUUUGACUAUAAUUUGUCUUGGUGAAGAUCUCUUUAUAUUUCAUCUAUUUGAGGUUCUUUGAGCUUCAUGGAUCUUGAUGUUCAUAUACCUCUCCAGAUUUGGGAGUUUUCUGUCAUUAUUUAUUUAAAGUCUUCUUAUCUUAAAUUAUUAUAUAUACAUACUAGUUGUACAUAUUUAUGGGGUAUAUGUGAUAUUUUGAUAUAAGCAUACAAUGUAGAAUGAUUAAGUCAGAAUAAUUGGGGUAUCCAUCACCUCAAGCAUUUAUCAUUUCUUUGUUUAAGGAACAUUCCAAUUCUACUCUUUUAGUUACUUUGAAACAUACAAUAAAUUAUUGUUAACUAUUGUCACUCUACUGUGCUACCAAACAUUAGAUCUUAUUCAUUCUAUUUAACUGUGUUUUUAUGCCCAUAAAAUGAUUUAUAAACCAUUCCCUGCUUAUCCCCCUCUUUCCCACUACCCUUCCCAGCCUCCAUUGGAUACCCCAAUUAUUCUGAUUGUAGAUCUCCAUUUCUUUAGGGUCAUUACUAGUGCUUAAUUUUGUCCCUUUGGUGGUGUCAUGUGCCCCUGAUUAUUUGUGAUUCUUGUGGCCUGAGUUAGUGUUUGCACAUUUGAAGAAGUAGGCAUCUCUUUGAGUCUUUACAGACUGGCUUCAGCAGGUAAAGCACUUUAACAUUCAGCCCACCAAGAGAUUCUGGGCAGAUCUUAUAGCGGGGUCUGUGGGUGGGCUUGCUGCUGGAGCCCUUAGUAGAGCUUUCAUGAUGCCUGGACCAGUGGGUGGGUGAGCCUGGUACCUCAGUCCACUGAGGCACACCUACGUAUUAGAUCUGCAUGGGCAGGCCUGGUGCCUGAGUUUGCAGGAGGAGGUCUGGAGCCAGGGUCUAUGUGUACAGGCCUGGAUCCUGGGUCUGCAAGGGCAGGCCUGUUGCCUGUGUGGGGGCUGGCUUGAGACCUGGUUCCACUGGGGCCCAGCCUGGCAUUGAGGUAGGCUUUGAGCCUGAGACUGUGGGUGUCAGCAAGUAGAGAGUGGGGUUGAAGCCUGGGUCCAGUGAGUCUGAUCUGGAGUGUGGGGUCAUGGGGGUUGGUCUGGCGCUAGGGAAAGUGCUCACCUGCAGUGCAGGGUCAUGGGCUCCAGCCUAUCACGAGGGUAGGCCUGGAGCUGGGACCAUAGGGACUGGUCUGCCACCAGUGCUCACUGGGAUGGUCCUGGUGCUAGGGUCUGCAGCAAAUAUGGGUGCUCAUUUCCCUGUUUUUCCUCCACAUCAAGGGUAUCUCUUUCUAGACUGCACUGCCUGUGCUUGGGGAAGGCUGUCAUGGGUAAUGUAACACUGUCCUGCCCUGUUCAGUGUAUCUUUUCUUAGAUCUGUGCUCCACGCAGGUACUCUAAUCCUUCAUCUGAAUUCCUAGCUGUUGUGAAGUUAUUUUUAUGCAUGGAUAGUUAUUACAAAUUGAUGUUUCUGUGAGGGAACAAGUACUGGAAACCCCUAUCCCUCCAUCUUGUUGCUGUCAAUCUAGGUCUCCAACAUUUGUGUUUAUUUUACUUAAAGUUUACUGAGCUUCUUGGAUGUAUUGAUUAAUGUUUUUCACCAAACUUGGGAAGUUUUCAGCCAUUAUUUCUCCUCCUUUCUCUCUCUCCUCUCCUUCUCAUGCAUAUGUUGAUGUGAUUAAUGAUGUCUCACAUUUCCACGAGGCUCUGUUUAUUUUUCUUCAUUUUUUUUCUCUCUGUUCUUCAGUCUACAUAAUCUUUAUAAAUAUAACUACAAAAUUGUUGACUCUUUCUUUUGCCUGCUGAGAGCUAAUGUGUCCUCACACUCCAAAGAGAGAGCAAGCAAGCUCUUUAGUGUCUCUUCUUGUAAGAGCGCUAAUUCUAUCAUGAAAGUUCCACCCUUGUGACCUCAUCUAAACCUAAUUACUUCUGAAAGAUUCCAUCUGUAAAUACCAUCGCGCUGGGGGUUAGGGCUUCAACAUAUGAAUAUUGCGGGGACACAGACAUUCAAUCCAUAAUAGCAAGUUUCAGUGGAUUUCAGAAGCCCCUAAGGCAGAAAAGCAAAAGCACCUUAUUUUUUGUCCACUUGACCUGUGUCUUAUGUUGGACUGAAAUGUAGGUCUCCUAAUUUUAGUGUAGUUUUGUAUAUUUCUCCCUAUAUAUCUUUAACUUUCUGAUAUAUAAAGGUAGCUGAAAUACAACAUCAUAAUUUUUACUGGAAAAUAGCCACAAUGAAGGAACACCACAAUUUCACCAUGAAAACCAGCACAACCUUACACAGAUGACAAACAUUUCCCCUCAAAACUUGUUAAACUGUAUUUGGGCUGACCAAAUUAACCAGAGUUAUUCUAUUUAUGGGGGAGCAGGAAGUAACUUGAUAAAAUGCUUUGAGUUUAUAUAUCAUGUCAAAUAAAUAGCAUAAUUUUAAAGGAAAAAAA